This is a long non-coding RNA of Mauremys mutica (yellowpond turtle), 1730 nucleotides long. RefSeq lists it as uncharacterized. The transcript is spliced from 3 exons. NCBI's taxonomy places the organism in Eukaryota, Metazoa, Chordata, Testudines, Geoemydidae. The record is from RefSeq and is a predicted model, not a curated record.
UCCCUGCAGGCAUUUUCCUCCCCUGGAACCAGAGUGACAACAUGGUUUGUGACUUGGCUGCAACUUGUGUUGCAAUCGCAGCAGCUGCUGACCUAGAGGAAGUCUGUGCCCGGUGCAGUGAGAGCUACCGGAGGAAGGGUGAAGCGAAACAAAGACCAGCAGCAAAGGAACUCAGAUGUAUCUGCCCCUUGCUGUAACCCACUAAGAGCCUGCUCUCCUCCCAGAGCUGGGAUAGAACCCAGGAGUCCUGACAGAGUCUCUCUCUCCACAGAGUUAGUAAUAAGGAACGGCCGGAGGUUCGUUACCACAGCAACCUCGACAGCACCAACGUGUCACCCCGCCAGACUCUGGACGGAGCUCAUAAGGGCAUAUUGGCCUCCAGCACACAGGCACCCAGAAUCCAUGGCAGAAUCUUUUGCCUGCAGAAGAGAAGCUCGUUAGAACUGCCAAGGGGAAGAUAAUUACUAGAGGUGAGCAUGUGGGGUUGGAAGAAUUAGCACCCCUGGGCCUUGCCUAGCCCUAACACUGACUCUCCACCUGACUCAGCCCCGAUCCUCCCUCCCUGCAACCCCAGCAGAGCAGAGGUUUGUAUGCUGCACACUGGGCCUUAAAACUUAGUGGGGCCACUCAGGGGACCCCAGAGGAGUCCCUGGGUCCCUCUAUACAAGGGUGGGGAGCAGGGUGCAGUUGCUUUAGCAAAUGGCACAUGUCGAAUGGGGAGAACAGGCCACCGUCACGGCCCCCUAACCACACCAGAGAUGGGGAGGGCAGAGUGGGCUGCCAGGCUGCCCCCCAAGAGGAGAGCCCAGCACUCAGCAGGCCUCCUGCACAAGGACAGAACCUGUGAUAGAUAAGGGGCCAUAGGGCCUGUCUAGACUGGUUUGGAUCAGUCCCGUAUGCUGCUGAAACCCUGGGGUUCACCUGCACCAACCUGAGCUGCAACCCUCCUGACACUGGCCCAUCGCUGACAGUGACCAUGGAGUGUGAUCCUAGAAACCCAGCACCCUGAAUGGGCCGCCAGCGCCUGAUGCUUUAGCUCUUCUUUCCCAAGUCUCCACUGAGCCCCAGGCCAGGCUGUUGGUUCUGGCUGGACAGAGCUGGGAAUCGGUUUUAUUGCCAGUAGCACUAAAUUGCUUGGUGCCGUUACAUUUAUCAUAGGCCAGAGAGCAGGGGCCAUGGGUUCCGGCAGCUCUGGAGCUUUCCAUUGCAGUGGGUCCAGUAUCCUUGUCUCUCACCGCCAACGGGCAGACAGCUGCCGUCCCCCAGUCCUCAGAAGCUGAGCAGGCGGACGGUGGGAUCCGGUUCUUGGAUUUCGCACCUCACAGCUCUUGUCACAUCCAACUUUUGCAGCCGCUUGGCCACGGAACGGCUGCUGAGCAGCUGUGACACACACGGAGCAGGUUAGUUACAGUCUGACGAACAGAGCUCCCAGCAUCGCUCUUCCUCUGCAGAGACAGCAGCGCCCACUGGUCUCCUCUCUGAUAGAAACGCAGGGCCUGGCUGGGGGAGCAGGGACGGCGGUGUACUAGAAAAGGGCCACAGCUGCACACCGGGAUGCAGAUUGUAACCCCCGUGUUUGGUUCCAGCUUCUCUCUUCAACGUGCCCCACACAACUCAUAGACUCAUAGACUUUAAGGUCAGAAGGGACCAUUAUGAUCAUCUAGUCUGACCUCCUGCACAACGCAGGCCACAAAAUCUCACCCACCCACUCCUGUAACAAACCCCUAACC